Molecule: ribosomal RNA, 292 nt
Filed under: uncultured Acinetobacter sp.
Lineage: Bacteria; Pseudomonadati; Pseudomonadota; Gammaproteobacteria; Moraxellales; Moraxellaceae
Description: partial 16S ribosomal RNA
Rfam family: Bacterial small subunit ribosomal RNA
Source: RNAcentral
GUGUCAGCCGCCGCGGUAAUACAGAGGGUGCGAGCGUUAAUCGGAUUUACUGGGCGUAAAGCGUGCGUAGGCGGCUUUUUAAGUCGGAUGUGAAAUCCCCGAGCUUAACUUGGGAAUUGCAUUCGAUACUGGGAAGCUAGAGUAUGGGAGAGGAUGGUAGAAUUCCAGGUGUAGCGGUGAAAUGCGUAGAGAUCUGGAGGAAUACCGAUGGCGAAGGCAGCCAUCUGGCCUAAUACUGACGCUGAGGUACGAAAGCAUGGGGAGCAAACAGGAUUAGAAACCCUAGUAGUCC